This 465-nucleotide ribosomal RNA is filed under the name uncultured bacterium. RNAcentral's name for it is "partial 16S ribosomal RNA". It matches the Rfam family "Bacterial small subunit ribosomal RNA", at positions 28 to 507 of the family's 1533-position model. The record is from RNAcentral.
GACGAACGCUGGCGGCGUGCUUAACACAUGCAAGUCGAACGGAAAGGCCCUGCUUGCAGGGUACUCGAGUGGCGAACGGGUGGGUAACACGUGGGUGAUCUGCCCUGCACUUCGGGAUAAGCCUGGGAAACUGGGUCUAAUACCGGAUAGGAGCCAUUUUUAGUGUGAUGGUUGGAAAGUUUUUUCGGUGUAGGAUGAGCUCGCGGCCUAUCAGCUUGUUGGUGGGGUAAUGGCCCACCAAGGCGGCGACGGGUAGCCGGCCUGAGAGGGUGGACGGCCACAUUGGGACUGAGAUACGGCCCAGACUCCUACGGGAGGCAGCAGUGGGGAAGAUUGCACAAUGGGCGCAAGCCUGAUGCAGCGACGCCGCGUGGGGGAUGACGGCCUUCGGGUUGUAAACUCCUUUCGCUAGGGACGAAGCUUUUUGUGACGGUACCUAGAUAAGAAGCACCGGCUAACUACGUG